Molecule: ribosomal RNA, 327 nt
Filed under: uncultured eukaryote
Lineage: Eukaryota
Description: partial 18S ribosomal RNA
Rfam family: Eukaryotic small subunit ribosomal RNA
Source: RNAcentral
CCCUUAGAUGUUCUGGGCCGCACACGCGCUGCACUGAAGGAGGCAGCGUGUACUCCUGGAUCGAAAGAUUUGGGUAACCCGCGAAUCUCCUUCGUGCUAGGGAUUGAGGUUUGCAAUUAUCCUUCAUGAACGAGGAAUUCCCAGUAAGUGCAAGUCAUAAGCUUGCGCUGACUACGUCCCUGCCCUUUGUACACACCGCCCGUCGCUACUACCGAUUGAAUGAUUUAGUGAGGACUUCGGACUGGGACCGAUGCGGCUUUCGGGCUGCGUCGGUAUUCUGGAAAGAUGUCCAAACUGUAUCAUUUAGAGGAAGUAAAANUCGUANCA